RNAcentral lists this long non-coding RNA (1064 nucleotides) under Anser cygnoides (Swan goose). RNAcentral describes it as "lncRNA (ENSACDG00005006236.1)". Lineage: Eukaryota; Metazoa; Chordata; Aves; Anseriformes; Anatidae. The record is from RNAcentral.
CCUCCCCCCUGCUCCUUACCUAAAUAGAUACACAGAUUCUACUAAACCAUACAGGAUUCAUGAUACUAAACUAAGGAAAUCAGUCUAGAAAAUACCAUUUUAAAAAAUAAUCAUUUAACUAAACUGGAAUAAAAAGAAGAUACCUGGAUAUACAGCUUGAUCCAGGUAUGAAGUGAUGCAGUUGAAAUAAAAAGAGAGCUGCUACAUUUGGACAAGUGAAUGGAUGUGUCCACAGCGUGCAUUGUAAGAUAGACCCUUAAGCAAGUACCACCUGACCUGAAUACAUGGGUCACAUCAAAGUGCGGCAGUGCACAUCUACCAAAUGGAGUCUGAAAGCAUCUCAGCUGGGUGUUUUAUCUUCAUAGAAUAAUAAGAUAGGUUUGAUGAGAUAUAGAAUAAUUUAGCUCAGAGUGGGGAACCCCCACUCAGGGCAAGACCUGCUUCAAAGCUAGAUAUAACUUUGAAGUUGCAUCAAGUUAUUCAGAGUUUUGGGUGAAUUUUACUUAGAGUGGUGUCAACCUAGGAACUUAAUCCUCACAGAGUAGCUGUACCCUCAGUCUUAUUGUCUCUGACCUAUCAGGCUAUCUUGUUCUCUGCCUCUUUCAAUUUAUAUGCUGUCUUUCCUCCCAGACUUUUCUUUUGUUGAGUGAGAGUGAAGGCAGACCAGCUCCUGUUCCUGUGAUCUGAGAAACAAUAUGGGAUAUUUUGUUUGAGAUAUGUUCAUUUUUGUAUUUUUCUCUCCUGUACAAACAACUUACUAGAAAACUAUUUUCUUUAUUUUCAGUAUCUUCAUUCACAAAGUCUCCACUGGGAAAUUCUGGAAACAAGAGGAUUUAGAUCUCUCUGCUGGCAUGAAAAGGCCUCUAAGUUAUGAUGCUCACAGAAUAAUGUACUUUUUGGAGUCAAGAUAUUUGCUGGCACCUAUCAGUAUUACUGCAGACACCCUGAGCAGCAUAAGAAAGCAAGAAGUUAAGCAGAGGUACUCCUUGGAAAUAUCAGUUUACUACUUCCUAUCCCAAGUUAUCUGUUCACUGACAUCUUUGGAAUAUCUGGGAAUAGAAUGA